AUCAUGGCUCAGGAUGAACGCUGGCGGCGUGCUUAACACAUGCAAGUCGAACGGAGAUACUGUGUGAGCGGAGAUAGCUUGCUAUUAACAAUCUUUAGUAUCUUAGUGGCGGACGGGUGAGUAACGCGUGGAUAACCUGCCUUGUACUGGGGGAUAACACUUAGAAAUAGGUGCUAAUACCGCAUAAGCGCACAGGACCGCAUGGUCUGGUGUGAAAAAACUCCGGUGGUACAAGAUGGAUCCGCGUCUGAUUAGCUAGUUGGUGGGGUAAUGGCCUACCAAGGCGACGAUCAGUAGCCGGCUUGAGAGAGUGACCGGCCACAUUGGGACUGAGACACGGCCCAAACUCCUACGGGAGGCAGCAGUGGGGAAUAUUGGACAAUGGGGGCAACCCUGAUCCCAGCGACGCCGCGUGAGUGAAGAAGUAUUUCGGUAUGUAAAGCUCUAUCAGCAGGGAAGAUAAUGACAGUACCUGACUAAGAAGCCCCGGCUAACUACGUGCCAGCCGCCGC
This 512-nucleotide ribosomal RNA is filed under the name uncultured bacterium. Its description in RNAcentral is "bacterial SSU rRNA". It matches the Rfam family "Bacterial small subunit ribosomal RNA", at positions 16 to 518 of the family's 1533-position model. The record is from RNAcentral.